Molecule: long non-coding RNA, 580 nt
Organism: Oncorhynchus tshawytscha (Chinook salmon)
Lineage: Eukaryota; Metazoa; Chordata; Actinopteri; Salmoniformes; Salmonidae
Source: Ensembl
GCCCCUUCUAUCCCCUCCAGUCUCUCCUGUAGGGUGGUUGUCAGCUUUAUGGAUGUCACUUGCUCUUGGAGCAGAUUGCAACCAGAGCUGGCCCCGGGAUGUCAUCUGGAGAGACAAACAAGAUCAUCUCAUCAAUUGAGAAUGACAUCAUGUUGCUACAUCUCAGCUCAAGUGAUCAAAGAGGAGAGAAAACAAGCUAAUUGGAUCUCAUCAGGGAAAUCAGAGUUCUGCCACUGGUCUCUCGCUGAACUGCAUGGAACAGAAGCUGUGGCAGAGAACAUCUGACAGACUGUCACUUCAACUGGGAGGCUGGAAGAGCAAACCAAAGAGGGACCUAUCGUUAGGCUGGCUUACUGCUGAGUCUUACGGAGUCUAAAACGUGUGAGAAACGGAACAUCCAGUGGCAGUGGACGAUGCAUCCCAAAUGGCCAAAAAGCUCUCACAGUCUCACUGCGGAAUUAGACGCUCAUCCACGUUCUCCAAACGGCAAAUUGGAAGUUGCUCUAAACAUUUUUGUUACUACUGCUGCUCUGUAUUGUUCCAUUUCUUCAAACAUCACAUUUCAAAGUUACGGGUUAUG